CGGACGGGUGAGUAACGCGUGAGAAUCUACCUUCAGGUCGGGGACAACCACUGGAAACGGUGGCUAAUACCGGAUGUGCCGAGAGGUGAAAGGCUUGCUGCCUGAAGAAGAGCUUGCGUCUGAUUAGCUAGUUGGUAGUGUAAGAGACUACCAAGGCGACGAUCAGUAGCUGGUCUGAGAGGAUGAUCAGCCACACUGGGACUGAGACACGGCCCAGACUCCUACGGGAGGCAGCAGUGGGGAAUUUUCCGCAAUGGGCGAAAGCCUGACGGAGCAAUACCGCGCGAGGGAGGAGGGCUCUUGGGUUGUAAACCUCUUUUCUCAGGGAAGAAAAAAAUGACGGUACCUGAGGAAUAAGCAUCGGCUAACUCCGUGCCAGCAGCCGCGGUAAUACGGAGGAUGCAAGCGUUAUCCGGAAUGAUUGGGCGUAAAGAGUCCGUAGGUGGCAUUGAAAGUCUGCUGUUAAAGAGUCUAGCUCAACUAGAUAAGAGCAGUGGAAACUACAAAGCUAGAGUUUGGUCGGGGCAGAAGGAAUUCCUGGUGUAGCGGUGAAAUGCGUAGAUAUCAGGAAGAACACCGGUGGCGAAGGCGUUCUGCUAGGCCGAGACUGACACUGAGGGACGAAAGCUAGGGGA
This 635-nucleotide ribosomal RNA is filed under the name uncultured cyanobacterium. RNAcentral describes it as "bacterial SSU rRNA". It matches the Rfam family "Bacterial small subunit ribosomal RNA", at positions 99 to 767 of the family's 1533-position model. Lineage: Bacteria; Bacillati; Cyanobacteriota. The record is from RNAcentral.